Molecule: ribosomal RNA, 896 nt
Filed under: uncultured delta proteobacterium
Lineage: Bacteria; Deltaproteobacteria
Description: bacterial SSU rRNA
Rfam family: Bacterial small subunit ribosomal RNA
Source: RNAcentral
GAGUGGCGGCGUGCUAUAAUGCAGUCGACGAGAAGACUGACUUCGGUUAGUCAAGUAAAGUGGCGAACGGGUGAGUAACACGUGGGCAAUCUACCUCUUAGACUGGGAUAAUCCUUCGAAAGGAGGCUUAAUACCGGAUAACACUGCCGAAUGGCAUCAUUUGGCAUUCAAAGGCGGCGCAAGCUGCCGUUAGGAGAUGAGCCCGCGCUCCAUUAGCUAGUUGGCGGGGUAACGGCCCACCAAGGCUACGAUGGAUAGCCGACCUGAGAGGGUGACCGGCCACACUGGGACUGAGAUACGGCCCAGACUCCUACGGGAAGCAGCAGUAGGGAAUAUUGUGCAAUGGACGAAAGUCUGACGCAGCAACGCCGCGUGGGUGAUGACGCUUCUUGGAGUGUAAAACCCUGUCAGUGGGGACGAAACGCAUGAUAAGUAACUGUUUCAUGCCUGACGGUACCCACAGAGGAAGUCCCGGCUAACUCCGUGCCAGCAGCCGCGGUAAUACGGGGGGGACAAGCGUUGUUCGGAUUUACUGGGCGUAAAGGGCGCGUAGGCGGGUCUUCAAGUUGGAUGUGAAAACCGGCGGCUCAACCACCGGCCUGCAUUCAAAACUGUUGAUCUUGAGUCGGGAAGAGGAAAGCGGAAUUCCAGGUGUAGCGGUGAAAUGCGUAGAUAUCUGGAAGAACACCGGUAGCGAAGGCGGCUUUCUGGUCCCACACUGACGCUAAAGCGCGAAGGCUUGGGUAGCAAACAGGAUUAGAUACCCUGGUAGUCCAAGCGGUAAACGUUGGAUACUAGGUGUCGGGGGUAUCGACCCCCUCGGCGCCGAAGUUAACACAUUAAGUAUCCCGCCUGGGGGGUACGAUCGCAAGAUUGAAACUCAAAGGAAUUGACGG